This 499-nucleotide ribosomal RNA is filed under the name uncultured bacterium. RNAcentral's name for it is "partial 16S ribosomal RNA". It matches the Rfam family "Bacterial small subunit ribosomal RNA", at positions 28 to 507 of the family's 1533-position model. The record is from RNAcentral.
GACGAACGCUGGCGGCGUGCCUAAUACAUGCAAGUCGAGCGAAGUUUUUCUGGUGCUUGCACUAGAAAAACUUAGCGGCGAACGGGUGAGUAACACGUAAAGAACCUGCCUCAUAGACUGGGACAACUAUUGGAAACGAUAGCUAAUACCGGAUAACAGUAUUUCUCGCAUGAGAGAUAUUUAAAAGUUGGUUAUGCUAACACUAUGAGAUGGCUUUGCGGUGCAUUAGCUAGUUGGUGGGGUAAAGGCCCACCAAGGCGACGAUGCAUAGCCGACCUGAGAGGGUGAUCGGCCACACUGGGACUGAGACACGGCCCAGACUCCUACGGGAGGCAGCAGUAGGGAAUCUUCCGCAAUGGGCGAAAGCCUGACGGAGCAGCGCCGCGUGAGUGAAGAAGGAUUUCGGUUCGUAAAGCUCUGUUGUUAGGGAAGAAUGGAUAUGUAGUAACUAUACAUGUAAGAGACGGUACCUAACCAGAAAGCCACGGCUAACUACGUG